AAAAAAUGAUCAAAUUGACCCCAUUGGACUUCAAGAUAUGUGACGAUGAAAUGAAUUACGUGUACAAAGCACUUACAGCAUGGCACAUGCUAUGGUUUUCCUGAACUUAAUCCUCUGGAUCUUCAGAGCAGAGAAAGUAUGGAGGUCGAAAUUGAAUUGCUGCUGACUGUUGUCCCUUGUUAUGGCCUGUGGAGAUAUGACAAUUGAGGAAGAACUUAGAG
Molecule: long non-coding RNA, 221 nt
Organism: Pan troglodytes (chimpanzee)
Lineage: Eukaryota; Metazoa; Chordata; Mammalia; Primates; Hominidae
Exons: 3
Source: RefSeq, a predicted model, not a curated record